GCUGUCUUGAAAAAAAAAAAAAAAAAUGAAGCAAUGUAGAGAAUAUCAGCAUAGCCCCUAUGCAAGAAUGACACAAAAAUUUGUGAAGUGUUCCAUAUUUAA
Arvicanthis niloticus (Nile rat) is the source of this 102-nucleotide small nuclear RNA. The record is from RefSeq and is a predicted model, not a curated record. NCBI's taxonomy places the organism in Eukaryota, Metazoa, Chordata, Mammalia, Rodentia, Muridae.